This 452-nucleotide ribosomal RNA is filed under the name uncultured bacterium. Its description in RNAcentral is "bacterial SSU rRNA". It matches the Rfam family "Bacterial small subunit ribosomal RNA", at positions 8 to 507 of the family's 1533-position model. The record is from RNAcentral.
AGAGUUUGAUCAUGGCUCAGAACGAACGCUGGCGGCAUGCCUAACACAUGCAAGUCGAACGAGACCUUCGGGUCUAGUGGCGCACGGGUGCGUAACGCGUGGGAAUCUGCCCUUGGUUCGGAAUAACUUCGGGAAACUGAAGCUAAUACCGGAUAAUGACGUAAGUCCAAAGAUUUAUCGCCAAGGGAUGAGCCCGCGUAGGAUUAGCUAGUUGGUGGGGUAAAGGCUCACCAAGGCGACGAUCCUUAGCUGGUCUGAGAGGAUGAUCAGCCACACUGGGACUGAGACACGGCCCAGACUCCUACGGGAGGCAGCAGUGGGGAAUAUUGGACAAUGGGCGAAAGCCUGAUCCAGCAAUGCCGCGUGAGUGAUGAAGGCCUUAGGGUUGUAAAGCUCUUUUACCCGGGAAGAUAAUGACUGUACCGGGAGAAUAAGCCCCGGCUAACUCCGUG